UACAGGAAGCAGCUUGCUGCUUCGCUGACGAGUGGCGGACGGGUGAGUAAUGUCUGGGAAACUGCCUGAUGGAGGGGGAUAACUACUGGAAACGGUAGCUAAUACCGCAUAACGUCGCAAGACCAAAGAGGGGGACCUUCGGGCCUCUUGCCAUCGGAUGUGCCCAGAUGGGAUUAGCUAGUAGGUGGGGUAACGGCUCACCUAGGCGACGAUCCCUAGCUGGUCUGAGAGGAUGACCAGCCACACUGGAACUGAGACACGGUCCAGACUCCUACGGGAGGCAGCAGUGGGGAAUAUUGCACAAUGGGCGCAAGCCUGAUGCAGCCAUGCCGCGUGUAUGAAGAAGGCCUUCGGGUUGUAAAGUACUUUCAGCGGGGAGGAAGGGAGUAAAGUUAAUACCUUUGCUCAUUGACGUUACCCGCAGAAGAAGCACCGGCUAACUCCGUGCCAGCAGCCGCGGUAAUACGGAGGGUGCAAGCGUUAAUCGGAAUUACUGGGCGUAAAGCGCACGCAGGCGGUUUGUUAAGUCAGAUGUGAAAUCCCCGGGCUCAACCUGGGAACUGCAUCUGAUACUGGCAAGCUUGAGUCUCGUAGAGGGGGGUAGAAUUCCAUGUGUAGCG
Molecule: ribosomal RNA, 620 nt
Filed under: Escherichia coli
Lineage: Bacteria; Pseudomonadati; Pseudomonadota; Gammaproteobacteria; Enterobacterales; Enterobacteriaceae
Description: bacterial SSU rRNA
Rfam family: Bacterial small subunit ribosomal RNA
Source: RNAcentral